RNAcentral lists this ribosomal RNA (670 nucleotides) under uncultured bacterium. RNAcentral describes it as "bacterial SSU rRNA". It matches the Rfam family "Bacterial small subunit ribosomal RNA", at positions 79 to 755 of the family's 1533-position model. The record is from RNAcentral.
CUUGCACGGAUCUUUUAGAAAGUGGCGAACGGGUGAGUAACGCGUGGGUAACCUACCCUAUGGAAAGGAAUAGCCUCGGGAAACUGGGAGUAAUGCCUUAUAAGAUAUAUUUGUCGCAUGGCAGAUGUAUUAAACGCUCCGGUGCCAUAGGAUGGACCCGCGUCCCAUUAGCUAGUUGGUGAGAUAACAGCUCACCAAGGCGACGAUGGGUAACCGGUCUGAGAGGGCGAACGGUCACACUGGAACUGAGACACGGUCCAGACUCCUACGGGAGGCAGCAGUGGGGAAUAUUGCGCAAUGGGGGAAACCCUGACGCAGCAAUACCGCGUGAGUGAAGAAGGUUUUCGGAUCGUAAAGCUCUGUUAUUGGGGAAGAAAAAAAGACGGUACCCAAGAAGAAAGUCCCGGCUAACUACGUGCCAGCAGCCGCGGUAAUACGUAGGGGACAAGCGUUGUCCGGAUUUACUGGGCGUAAAGGGCACGCAGGCGGUUUUUUAAGUCAGAUGUGAAAGGUACCGGCUCAACCGGUGACAUGCAUUUGAAACUGAAAGACUUGAGUAUUGGAGAGGCAAGUGGAAUUCCUAGUGUAGCGGUGAAAUGCGUAGAUAUUAGGAGGAACACCGGUGGCGAAAGGCGGCUUGCUUGGACAAAAUACUUGACGCUGAGGUGCC